CCCCGCUCGGGCCUCCGCCCGCGCGCCGUCCAGGACCUGCACGGUUUCCAGGUGCCCCCACCGCGCACAGUCCAGCGUUUGGCGGGGUCCCCGAGUCAUCCAAGGGCUGGUGGUAGCGACGUGUGAUGUGGCCGCGCGGGGUUUCCUCCAUCUCGCAGAAGUCAGGACACGAGAAACUUUGGAAACCUCGACUUGAGGAGAUCGGAAGAACACGGGAAGUCUGCUGCUCAAACAGAACCACCCAGAGGUUUGAGUGUGUGGAACAUUCUGGAGAAAAAAGCAGAAGUGACUCCGUCUGCUUUAAAUCUUUGUGGAGGGAAGACAGGCCUCCCCUGGGCCACUUGACCGAGUGCAGGGCGUCAUCACACAGGAGACAAAAGUGGGGGGCUGUGCUCUCCAGAACAUGUGCACGUUACGGUUCACCUUCUCCCCAGGAGAGGGCUUGCUUCAACCUUGGCCGUGGCUGGGCUGCCCUAGAGAAAAGCCUUUGACAGACAGCGGGUCACAGCUGACCCCGGAGAAGUGACCGGUGACACUCAGGCAGCCGGUGGGGAAUCGGGCUGAGGCCCCUGGGCGGACGUGCACAACUGAGGGGUCAUCCUGACCUUAUUAAAAUUUCUGAAGUUCC
Molecule: long non-coding RNA, 628 nt
Organism: Suricata suricatta (meerkat)
Lineage: Eukaryota; Metazoa; Chordata; Mammalia; Carnivora; Herpestidae
Exons: 2
Source: RefSeq, a predicted model, not a curated record